RNAcentral lists this ribosomal RNA (250 nucleotides) under uncultured bacterium. RNAcentral describes it as "partial 16S ribosomal RNA". It matches the Rfam family "Bacterial small subunit ribosomal RNA", at positions 524 to 773 of the family's 1533-position model. The record is from RNAcentral.
UACGUAGGUGGCAAGCGUUAUCCGGAUUUACUGGGUGUAAAGGGCGUGUAGGCGGGACUGUAAGUCAGGCGUGAAAACCAUGGGCUCAACCCAUGGCCUGCGUUUGAAACUAUAGUUCUUGAGUGUCGGAGAGGCAAUCGGAAUUCCGUGUGUAGCGGUGAAAUGCGUAGAUAUACGGAGGAACACCAGUGGCGAAGGCGGAUUGCUGGACGAUAACUGACGCUGAGGCGCGAAAGCGUGGGGAGCAAAC